GGCCCUCAGAACUGCACCUCCACCCCAUGGUUAGUCAUUCCAGACUAACUUGUUCUCUUAUUCUGAACUUGGCCUCAGCUUUCCCCCUUCACCUCUCUCUGUUGGCUGAGAGCUAUGGUCACCAUUUCAUCCUGAGAAAGGACAUUCAAUUAAGAGGAGAAUUUCAUGCCUAUAUUCAGUGUUCCAGUGAUAGCACCAGAGGGGACUAUUUUCUCACAGCCCUGAUCCAUUUUUUUUCCUGUCUCUGGCUUUCCUGGGUGGACUAGGGGAAAGGUCAGCAGUAGGCUCCCAUUGAAACACCCAAUUGGGUAUCACUUGACCAGCCGACCACUCUUGGAAAGGAAGUCAACCCUCAUCUCCAGAGAAGCCUCUCGUCAGCCUAUGUUGCAACUCCACCACCUGCCUCCAUCAAAGAGCACCUUGUUUUCCCAACUGAAUCAACAGCAGCAGCUGGACAGAGUGCAUCAGCAGGCCUUGCUUUCUGGGCGCUCUCCUGGUCCCAGGCCUAUUAUUCCCCACGUUUGGAGUUGGGGAGAUGUUUGCCUUGUGUGGAGUGAUGCUCGCGCCUCCUGGACACCAGAAGCACAAGGCAUGUUAGCUAAUUAAACACUGGGUGUGGCUAGCUAUCCCCAAAUAAACAUUCCCUGGGCAUUGUGAAUUCA
Molecule: long non-coding RNA, 662 nt
Filed under: Monodelphis domestica (gray short-tailed opossum)
Lineage: Eukaryota; Metazoa; Chordata; Mammalia; Didelphimorphia; Didelphidae
Description: lncRNA (ENSMODG00000031132.2)
Source: RNAcentral